This 460-nucleotide ribosomal RNA is filed under the name uncultured bacterium. RNAcentral's name for it is "partial 16S ribosomal RNA". It matches the Rfam family "Bacterial small subunit ribosomal RNA", at positions 338 to 795 of the family's 1533-position model. The record is from RNAcentral.
CCUACGGGUGGCAGCAGUGAGGAAUAUUGGUCAAUGGACGAGAGUCUGAACCAGCCAAGUAGCGUGAAGGAUGACUGCCCUAUGGGUUGUAAACUUCUUUUAUAUGGGAAUAACAUGUUCCACGUGUAGGAUUUUGUAUGUACCAUAUGAAUAAGGAUCGGCUAAUUCCGUGCCAGCAGCCGCGGUAAUACGGAGGAUCCGAGCGUUAUCCGGAUUUAUUGGGUUUAAAGGGAGCGUAGGUGGAUUGUUAAGUCAGUUGUGAAAGUUUGGGGCUCAACCGGAAAAUUGCAGUUGAAACUGGCAGGCUUGAGUACAGGAGAGGUAGGCGGAAUUCGUGGUGUAGCGGUGAAAUGCUUAGAGAUGACGAAGAACUCCGAUUGCGAAGGCAGCUGACUGGACUGCAACUGACACUGAGGCUCGAAAGUGUGGGUAUCAAACAGGAUUAGAUACCCUAGUAGUC